CGGGGAGUAGCGCAGCUUGGUUAGCGCACCUGCUUUGGGAGCAGGAGGUCGCGGGUUCGAAUCCCGCCUCCCCGACCA
Molecule: transfer RNA, 78 nt
Filed under: Acidimicrobiia bacterium
Lineage: Bacteria; Bacillati; Actinomycetota; Acidimicrobiia
Description: tRNA-Pro
Rfam family: tRNA
About the family: Transfer RNA (tRNA) molecules are approximately 80 nucleotides in length. Their secondary structure includes four short double-helical elements and three loops (D, anti-codon, and T loops).
Source: RNAcentral